AAUCUGGCUCUCGGGCCAGUUUUUUGGUGAUUCACAAUAACUCGAUUUCGAAGCGGAUCGCAUGGCCUAGCGCCGGCGACAGUUCAUUCAAAUUUCUGCCCUAUCAACUUUGGAUGGUAGUGUAGUGGACUACCAUGGUGAUAACGGGUAACGGGGGAUUAGGGUUCGAUUCCGGAGAGGGAGCCUGAGAGAUGGCUACCACUUCCAAGGAAGGCAGCAGGCACGAAAAUUACCCAAUGCAGACUCUGCGAGGUAGUGAGGAGAAAUAACAAUGCAGUCCUUGACAAAAGGAUUGCAAUUGGAAUGAGUACAAUUCAAAAACCUUAACGAGGAUCAAUUAGAGGACAAGUCUGGUGCCAGCACCCGCGGUAAUUCCAGCUCUAAUAGCGUAUAUUAAUUUGUUGCAGUUAAAAAGCUCGUAGUUGGAUCUCGACGCGGGUCAUUUUAAUGGGCCGGUCUGCUAGCCUUUUUGCCUGAAAGGGUGGGGGGUUGGUGUGCACUGUCCAUCCCGCGUCAUUAUUUGCCUAGAUCGGUAGUUGUCUGCCCUUAACUGGGUGGGCUUCUUGCCCUAGGCCGUUUACCUUGAAUAAAUUAGAGUGUUCAAAGCAGGCCAGUUUUGGCCUUUGUAUAUACCAGCAUGGGAUAAUAAAAUAAGAUGGGAAUCUUAUUUUGUUGGUUUUGAGGGUUCCUGUAAUGAUCAAUAGGAGUAGACGGGGGUAUUCAUAUUCCGUUGUCAGAGGUGAAAUUCUUGGAUUUUCGGAAGAUGAACAGGUGCGAAAGCGUCUACCAAGCUCAUCUCCAUUGAUCAAGAACGAAAGUUAAGGGAUCGAAGACGAUCAGAUACCGUCGUAGUCUUAACUAUAAACGAUGCCGACCAGGGAUUGUAAGACGUUGAUAUGAAAGACUCUUGCAGCACCUUAUGAGAAAUCAUAAGUCUUUGGGUUCUGGGGGGAGUAUGGUCGCAAGGCUGAAACUUAAAGGAAUUGACGGAAGGGCACCACCAGGAGUGGAGCCUGCGGCUUAAUUUGACUCAACACGGGAAAACUCACCAGGUCCAGACAUGGGGAGGAUGGACAGAUUGAUAGCUCUUUCUUGAUUCUAUGGGCGGUGGUGCAUGGCCGUUCUUAGUUGGUGGAGUGAUUUGUCUGGUUAAUUCCGAUAACGAACGAGACCUCAACUUGCUAAAUAGUCGCACUAGUCUUCUAAACGGGUGAAUCAGAUUGUUUUCUGCCAGGACCUUUAGUUCUUCGGGAUUAGGGGGCUUGGUAGACGGUCUGUGGAUCCCUGAUGUAUUGGUGUUCGACUUCUUAGAAGGACAAAUCACAUUGAAGUGAUGGGAAGUUUGAGGCAAUAACAGGUCUGUGAUGCCCUUAGAUGUCCUGGGCUGCACGCGCGCUACACUGACUGGCAUAGCAAGUACAUUUACCUUGGCCUAUAGGUCUGGGUAAUCUCUAAAUGUCAGUCGUGAUGGGGAUAGAUAAUUGUAAUUAUUUGUCUUCAACGAGGAAUUCCUAGUAAGUACAAGUCAUCAGCUUGUGCUGAUUACGUCCCUGCCCUUUGUACACACCGCCCGUCGCUCCUACCGAUUGAAUGAUCCGAUGAAGGCU
Molecule: ribosomal RNA, 1607 nt
Filed under: metagenome
Description: SSU rRNA
Rfam family: Eukaryotic small subunit ribosomal RNA
Source: RNAcentral